Molecule: ribosomal RNA, 253 nt
Filed under: uncultured bacterium
Lineage: Bacteria
Description: partial 16S ribosomal RNA
Rfam family: Bacterial small subunit ribosomal RNA
Source: RNAcentral
UACGAAGGGGGCUAGCGUUGCUCGGAAUCACUGGGCGUAAAGGGUGCGUAGGCGGGUCUUUAAGUCAGGGGUGAAAUCCUGGAGCUCAACUCCAGAACUGCCUUUGAUACUGAAGAUCUUGAGUUCGGGAGAGGUGAGUGGAACUGCGAGUGUAGAGGUGAAAUUCGUAGAUAUCGAGAGGAACACCAGUGGCGAAGGCGAGUCCCUGGACAAUUCUUGACACUGAGGCACGAAAGCUAGGGGAGCAAACAGG